Non-coding RNA from Oryza sativa Japonica Group (Japanese rice), 777 nucleotides. NCBI's taxonomy places the organism in Eukaryota, Viridiplantae, Streptophyta, Magnoliopsida, Poales, Poaceae. The record is from RefSeq and is a predicted model, not a curated record.
GGAGGAAAAAUAGUGUGAUUCUAUUUCUAUGCACCUUCUCAUAAACCGUAAACAUCACUCUGUCAUCUUUGUUUGUUUGCCUACCUAAUCCCUUCUUUCUUCUGUAUAGUUGGUAUGCACUUAACUCAUUCAUUGCUAUAAAGCUGAUCCCACAGUAAGCCACGUCAUCAAAAUUAAGUAGGCCGUUGGAUUUUGAUCUGAACGAUCAGUAUUCCCUAGCUGGCUGGCUCACAAAACUGGCGGCUAUAUCUUCCUCUCGCAGGAUCUGUUUCUUCCAUCCCUAGGUAAUGGCGUAAUGUUACUCUAGCGGCUGCUUCCUUCCUUUCUUCAGAGUAUGGUUUGCUAGAGCAAUCACAGCAUUUUCUCUACAGGAUGAAGCUGGUAUCCUGGUAGUCAACUAGAUUGUGCCAAAAUAGCCAAACAAGGCAGAUCGAUCGGAUGGAUGCAUGUACAUGACCAUAUUAUCUACAAAUUUAUCCUAAUUAGUCGUUGAUUAAGAGAAGAUUCAGACCAACCGUAAGUUUCUUGACAGGAAGCGAAUGCGCUAAAUAGGAAUUCAAAGAUCAGUAUUUCCUUUUUAAAAUAACCUUCAGUUCCAACUAUUUAUUUCGUGUGCUGAUGUUUGAUCUGUAUGCAUAAAGAUAAAAUCUUUGUUGACUUUUAAUAAAACUUAUGGUUAGCUCUUUUAUGUAGUGCACACAUCUUUUCAAAGUUAUUUGUCUACACAACUAUCCCGCAGCAAAGCGCGGGGUGUCCACUAGUUAAUUUGAGAGUGGC